AGUUUUAUAGUCAAUAAAAUGAUUUAAAAUUGCAAAUUUUAAGGAGUAAAAAAAAUUAAAAUUUACUAAGGCUU
This 74-nucleotide transfer RNA is filed under the name Leucoptera malifoliella (pear leaf blister moth). RNAcentral's name for it is "tRNA-Cys". The record is from RNAcentral. Lineage: Eukaryota; Metazoa; Arthropoda; Insecta; Lepidoptera; Lyonetiidae.